Molecule: transfer RNA, 82 nt
Filed under: Echinostoma caproni
Lineage: Eukaryota; Metazoa; Platyhelminthes; Trematoda; Plagiorchiida; Echinostomatidae
Rfam family: tRNA
About the family: Transfer RNA (tRNA) molecules are approximately 80 nucleotides in length.
Source: Rfam by way of RNAcentral
GGCCUCGUAGCUCAGCUGGUACAGUGUGCGCGUACAUAGCGCAGGCGGCGUCCAUGCGUGGGUUCGAAUCCCAACGAGACUA